RNAcentral lists this ribosomal RNA (253 nucleotides) under uncultured bacterium. RNAcentral's name for it is "partial 16S ribosomal RNA". It matches the Rfam family "Bacterial small subunit ribosomal RNA", at positions 524 to 776 of the family's 1533-position model. The record is from RNAcentral.
UACAGAGGUGGCAAGCGUUGUUCGGAAUUACUGGGCGUAAAGGGCGAGUAGGCGGCUUUUUAAGUCAGACGUGAAAUCCCCCGGCUUAACCUGGGAACUGCGUCUGAUACUGGAAGGCUUGAGUAUGGGAGAGGAAUGUGGAAUUCCAGGUGUAGCGGUGAAAUGCGUAGAUAUCUGGAGGAACACCGGUGGCGAAGGCGGCAUCCUGGACCAACACUGACACUGAAAAGCGAAAGCCAGGGGAGCAAACGGG